RNAcentral lists this transfer RNA (73 nucleotides) under Clostridium porci. RNAcentral describes it as "Clostridium sp. WCA-389-WT-23D1 tRNA-Lys". It matches the Rfam family "tRNA". From Rfam's summary of the family: Transfer RNA (tRNA) molecules are approximately 80 nucleotides in length. Their secondary structure includes four short double-helical elements and three loops (D, anti-codon, and T loops). The record is from RNAcentral. Lineage: Bacteria; Bacillati; Bacillota; Clostridia; Eubacteriales; Clostridiaceae.
GUGCGUGUAGCUCAGUUGGCAGAGCAAACGACUUUUAAUCGUUAGGUCGAGGGUUCAAAUCCCUCUACGCACA